GAGGUGGGAGGACUACUUGAGCCCAGCAGGUUGAGGCUACAGUGAGCUGUGAUCAUACCACUGCACUCCAGCCUGGGUGACAGAGUGAGACCCUGUCUC
This 99-nucleotide microRNA precursor is filed under the name Carlito syrichta (Philippine tarsier). Its description in RNAcentral is "miRNA (ENSTSYG00000027933.1)". Lineage: Eukaryota; Metazoa; Chordata; Mammalia; Primates; Tarsiidae. The record is from RNAcentral.